AAAGGAAUUGACGGGGGCCCGCACAAGCGGUGGAGCAUGUGGUUUAAUACGUCACUAACCGUAGAACCUUACCCAGGUUUGACAUCUAGUGCAAGCUCUGCGAAAUCGGAGCCCUUCAGUUUACUGAACACGAAAGACAGGUGUUGCAUGGCUGUCGUCAGCUCGUGUCGUGAGAUGUUGGGUUAAGUCCCGCAACGAGCGCAACCCUCACUAAAUGUUGCCAGCGUAAAGUCGGGAACUCUUUUAGAACUGCCUAUGUAAGUAGGAGGAAGGUGGGGAUGACGUCAAGUCAGCAUGGCCCUUACGCCUGGGGCUACACACAUGCUACAAUGGGUGAACAAAGGGAUGCAAUACCGCGAGGUGGAGCUAAUCUCAAAAAUACACUCUCAGUUCAGAUUGCAGUCUGCAACUCGACUGCAUGAAGUCGGAAUCGCUAGUAAACGCAGGUCAGCUAAACUGCGUUGAAUACGUUCCCGGGCCUUGUACACACCGCCCGU
RNAcentral lists this ribosomal RNA (497 nucleotides) under uncultured bacterium. Its description in RNAcentral is "bacterial SSU rRNA". It matches the Rfam family "Bacterial small subunit ribosomal RNA", at positions 903 to 1397 of the family's 1533-position model. The record is from RNAcentral.